GUGAGAUCCAAAAUCUCAGUGAAAGAAAACUAGCCAAGUAAAAGUGAAUGUUCUACUCAAUGUUAUGCUUGGAUAUUUCUCAUAACAAAGAAAUAAUCUGUUAAGGAUUAUUUUCUCCCAACCCCCACUACCAUGGGCAGGGACAUCACCCACUAGACUGGGCUGCUCCAGGUCUUAUCCUACCUGGCCUUAAACACUCCCAGGGAUUUAGCAUCCAUAACCUCCCAAAGCAGUCUGUUCCAGUGCCUCAUCACCCUCACAAUAAAAAAUUUCUUUCUAAUAUUAAGCCCUAAUUUCCUCUUUUUCAGUUUGAACCCAUUACCCCGUGUCCUGUCACUAAACUUCCUGAUGAAGAGUCCCUCUCCAGUUUCUCUUCAGGUCCCCUUGAGAUACUGCAAGCUGGCUAUGAGUUUUCUACACGAUAUCUGCAAUAUAAGAAUGCAAUACAUUCAAGUGUUCCCUUUAAAUGAUACGCCUUGGGAUGCAUGGAGCUGAAAGUAAAAUGUUCUCAGAAAAAGGAUGAUUCUCUAGUGUGGGAAGGUGACAGAUAUACAAUAUUCACAUCAAACUCUGCAGUGUUCUCUACAGAGUACCAUGAAGAAAUCAUACACUUUUCAGAAACACGAAGAAUAAAGAAAAUGCCUAACAUCCUUCUGAUUCAAACUAUACACAAUUAACUGCUUAUCCGAGUCUUCCUCAGAACUGUCAAAGUCUUUUAGGAAUGGUAUUCUCCAAUUUAAUAUUCCACUACAAAGAAAAUCACAUACUGCUUCUCUCCCCUGCUCCUGUGGGAGACAAAUGGCAGAGACUAUGGGUUGAGAUAAGAACAAUUUACUGGAAACAGCAAUGAAGAUAAGAAAAUGAAAAAUAACAGCAACAAUAUUUGUACUAAAAUAUUCAAAAAGAAGGUGAUUCACAUGAAAAAAUACUCCCCGUGGACCACAAUCAAUAGUGGACGAUGGAUUCCCUACCCUGCCAUGCUUUUUUCACCCAAAGCCAUGCCCUUCUUCCCAGAAGAGACAGUCUUCCACCCCCCAGCAAUGACAUGAAUGGGUAUAGAAUAAAAACCUAGACAUGCUCA
RNAcentral lists this long non-coding RNA (1081 nucleotides) under Parus major (Great Tit). Its description in RNAcentral is "lncRNA (ENSPMJG00000001643.1)". The record is from RNAcentral. Lineage: Eukaryota; Metazoa; Chordata; Aves; Passeriformes; Paridae.